AGAGUUUGAUCCUGGCUCAGAAUGAACGCUGGCGGCGUGCUUAACACAUGCAAGUCGAACGGUAACAGGAGGAAGCUUGCUUCUUUGCUGACGAGUGGCGCACGGGUGAGUAAUGCAUAGGUAACGUGCCCCUUAGUCUGGGAUAGCCACUGGAAACGGUGAUUAAUACUGGAUACUCCUUCUCUCUUAAUGAGAGUUGGGAAACUUUUUGGCUAAGGGAUCGGCCUAUGUUGUAUCAGGUAGUUGGUGAGGUAAUGGCUCACCAAGCCUAUGACACCUAGCUGGUCUGAGAGGAUGAUCAGCCACACUGGAACUGAGACACGGUCCAGACUCCUACGGGAGGCAGCAGUGGGGAAUAUUGGACAAUGGGCGCAAGCCUGAUCCAGCCAUGCCGCGUGUGUGAAGAAGGCCUUCGGGUUGUAAAGCACUUUCAGUAGGGAGAAAGGGUUUAAGGUUAAUAGCCUUGAACAUUGAUGUUACCUACAGAAGCAGCACCGCUAACU
This 503-nucleotide ribosomal RNA is filed under the name uncultured bacterium. Its description in RNAcentral is "bacterial SSU rRNA". It matches the Rfam family "Bacterial small subunit ribosomal RNA", at positions 8 to 502 of the family's 1533-position model. The record is from RNAcentral.